UUCACACGUAAUAUUGUCAGGUUUUUUCUUUAUUUGAGGCAUUCUAAUAGACAUACAGAGUAUCUCAUUGUGGUUUUAGUCUUCAUUUUCCUGACAACUAAUGAUGUUGAGAAAAUGGCUACACUUUAAAACUGACAAUACUAACUGUCCAAGAGGUUGUGGAGCAACUGGGACCAUCAUAUGCAGCCGAGGGUUUAUAAACAGGGACAACCACUUGGGAAAACUGGCAAAAUAUAUUAAAGCUAAAUAUACACAUACUCUAUGACCUAGUACA
Molecule: long non-coding RNA, 274 nt
Filed under: Homo sapiens (human)
Lineage: Eukaryota; Metazoa; Chordata; Mammalia; Primates; Hominidae
Description: non-protein coding lnc-MT1G-7:1
Source: RNAcentral